CUAGGUGCCUAGGGACAGCAUCAUUUAGGGAUUUUUGAGAAGGCGCGAUGCUGGCGCCGAGCGACGCCGUGGCGUGUUCGUCCUCGGCGUGAUCGUUCUCUGGGCCGCGCGUUGUUCAACAUUGCUCAUGUAAUCGUGCGUGCGUUGCUUGUGUAUUGGUUGUGUGUGUUGGUUGUAGGUUCUGUGUUACUUGGCGGAAAGCCGUGAGUAGUGGCGGUGCGGCAAUGCGGCUUUGGCCUCGAUGAGGUCUGGCACUACAGAAUCUGCGUUGUGUGACCCGUGCUUUCUUGAGAACCCGGCGGUGGUGACAAUUGAAAUAUCGAAGUGGUCUAGCGCCUCGGCAGCGAAGUUCUGCGAACCGCGAUGUGGCGUCGCCGUGUCCGACUUUGCUUAACGGACAUCGAGGGAUGUGCUGCUCGCUGCAAGUCAUGCACCUUUUCUACUUGAAGCUUCCAUUGCAGUGUUUUGAACAUCAUUGAACCAGCACAUAGUGUAUAUAAAUAUUGGACACUGAUUGGGAACAUCACCUAAGUUCAUGCCUAUAUAUAGUAAAAAGAUGUAGCACGACCGGACAAAAUAAAAGAAGGGGGUGGGCUGUAGCAAUACUAAGUGUUAAAUGGUGCUUUAUCCUUUCCCUUGAGUUUUCUGUUUUUGUGCUUUUUAUGAAUCCUCCGCAGUAACCAUGCGAGUGCUGAGCUUGAGCUUGUUGGUUUCAAGUCUCAUGGUUGUUAAUAACAGAACAGUGUGAUAAACGAACAAGGGCUUGGAGGCAUCCAUUCACCUUGCUUGCCUCAUGGUGCUGCUUCAUAAGCACCGUGAGCAUCCAGGCCAACUAGGAAGGGAGGUUUGUUGCAAUUGCUUCUGAACUUUAUUGCCACCAAACCAACAGUGCUCUCAAUGACAGCUUUUGGACAGUAGAAUGCUUGCACCCAGCAAAGUCUUAAGAAGGAAGCAUUCAGGAUGUGCAAAAUAGGCUUUUGAAGCUGGCAGCAUUACUGAAGGGGCUUUGCCCAUCUGCCCUCUUUAUGGAUACACAAAGAUGAUUUCCUCUUUAAGAGGGAUUGUUUCAGAGGUCAUUACAUGGCAACAGUGUUGGGUGUUUAGUAGCUUGUCUUUGCCCACUGUUAAUAACCUGUUCCUUCUCCAGUGCCCCUGUGAAGUGCCUACUUUUUGGACACAAUGUGCUCUCCAUGCAUUCAUGCAUUUUUAGCUUGUAAAGACGUCUAUUACCCCUUGCCUCAAGCUGGUCUUUGCUGAUGUCACCCAAGAAGGCAUUGGGGAGUAUGGCAAUGUACGCUUACAAAACACAGUCGAUACCAGUGAAACUAAAUUAAUGGAGCUGCUGUUCUUUUUUUGUCCACUCCAUCCUUGUUAGUUACAAUGAGCAAUGUCCGAACAGAAGGCAUAUGUAGUUGGUCGUGCAUAGCCUGCGCACUAAGACUUGUUGGCAUGUUAUGACCUUAGCACAGUGUUUAUAUGUAAAAACCUUCUGAUGUGUUGAUGA
Molecule: long non-coding RNA, 1504 nt
Organism: Dermacentor andersoni
Lineage: Eukaryota; Metazoa; Arthropoda; Arachnida; Ixodida; Ixodidae
Source: RefSeq, a predicted model, not a curated record